UAAUUAUUAUGUUUUUUCAGACGCUGAUUGCAACUGCAAAUGGUUUAAAUUGUCCGAUCGGCGGCUGAGAGCGCGCCGAGGAAACGAAGGUACUUAAAAGACAUGGGUAAGAGAUGGUAGGCAAAGCCUACAACUCUAGGUAAUGAUCCUUCCGCAGGUUCACCUACGGAAA
RNAcentral lists this unclassified non-coding RNA (172 nucleotides) under uncultured fungus. Its description in RNAcentral is "sequence contains ITS1". Lineage: Eukaryota; Fungi. The record is from RNAcentral.